GAGGGCUUAGCUUAAUUAAAGUAGUUGAUUUGCAUUCAGCUGAUGUAAGAUGGAGUCUUGCAGCCCUUA
This 69-nucleotide transfer RNA is filed under the name Phoca fasciata (ribbon seal). RNAcentral describes it as "transfer RNA-Ala". It matches the Rfam family "tRNA". From Rfam's summary of the family: Transfer RNA (tRNA) molecules are approximately 80 nucleotides in length. Their secondary structure includes four short double-helical elements and three loops (D, anti-codon, and T loops). The record is from RNAcentral. Lineage: Eukaryota; Metazoa; Chordata; Mammalia; Carnivora; Phocidae.